CAGUCGCCGCGGUAAUACGAAGGGUGCAAGCGUUAAUCGGAAUUACUGGGCGUAAAGCGUGCGUAGGCGGUUUGUUAAGUCUGUCGUGAAAUCCCCGGGCUCAACCUGGGAAUGGCAAUGGAUACUGGCAAGCUAGAGUGUGUCAGAGGAUGGUGGAAUUCCCGGUGUAGCGGUGAAAUGCGUAGAGAUCGGGAGGAACAUCAGUGGCGAAGGCGGCCAUCUGGGACAACACUGACGCUGAGGCACGAAAGCGUGGGGAGCAAACAGGAUUAGAUACCCGCGUAGUCCCUGUCUCUUAUAC
This 301-nucleotide ribosomal RNA is filed under the name uncultured bacterium. Its description in RNAcentral is "partial 16S ribosomal RNA". It matches the Rfam family "Bacterial small subunit ribosomal RNA", at positions 509 to 807 of the family's 1533-position model. The record is from RNAcentral.